UACGUAGGGUGCAGGCGUUAAUCGGAAUUACUGGGCGUAAAGCGUGCGCAGGCGGUUUGCUAAGAGAGAUGUGAAAGCCCCGGGCUUAACCUGGGAACUGCGUUUCUAACUGGCAAGCUUGAGUGUGGCAGAGGGGGGUGGAAUUCCACGUGUAGCAGUGAAAUGCGUAGAGAUGUGGAGGAACACCGAUGGCGAAGGCAGCCCCCUGGGCUAACACUGACGCUGAUGAGCGAAAGCCAGGGGAGCAAACGGG
Molecule: ribosomal RNA, 253 nt
Filed under: uncultured bacterium
Lineage: Bacteria
Description: partial 16S ribosomal RNA
Rfam family: Bacterial small subunit ribosomal RNA
Source: RNAcentral